UUAACGCAAAUUAGUAUGCAGUUGGAACAGCGCCCCUAGCGGCAAACGUAGGCAAACGUUCCAACUCCAUACAAAUUUGAGUUA
RNAcentral lists this microRNA precursor (84 nucleotides) under Bombyx mori (domestic silkworm). RNAcentral describes it as "mir-2807 microRNA precursor family". It matches the Rfam family "mir-2807 microRNA precursor family". The record is from Rfam by way of RNAcentral. Lineage: Eukaryota; Metazoa; Arthropoda; Insecta; Lepidoptera; Bombycidae.